RNAcentral lists this ribosomal RNA (903 nucleotides) under uncultured bacterium. RNAcentral describes it as "bacterial SSU rRNA". It matches the Rfam family "Bacterial small subunit ribosomal RNA", at positions 598 to 1504 of the family's 1533-position model. The record is from RNAcentral.
AAACUAUGGGCUUAACCCAUAGCCUGCAAUUGAAACUGUUUGGCUUGAGUGAAGUAGAGGUAGGUGGAAUUCCCGGUGUAGCGGUGAGAUGCGUAGAGAUCGGGAGGAACACCAGUGGCGAAGGCGACCUACUGGGCUUUAACUGACGCUGAAACACGAAAGCAUGGGUAGCAAACAGGAUUAGAUACCCUGGUAGUCCAUGCUGUAAACGAUGAUUACUAGGUGUGGGGGGUCUGACCCCUUCCGUGCCGGAGUUAACACAAUAAGUAAUCCACCUGGGGAGUACGACCGCAAGGUUGAAACUCAAAGGAAUUGACGGGGGCCCGCACAAGCAGUGGAGUAUGUGGUUUAAUUCGAAGCAACGCGAAGAACCUUACCAGGUCUUGACAUCCAACUAACGAAGCAGAGAUGCAUUAGGUGCCCUUCGGGGAAAGUUGAGACAGGUGGUGCAUGGUUGUCGUCAGCUCGUGUCGUGAGAUGUUGGGUUAAGUCCCGCAACGAGCGCAACCCUUACUGUUAGUUGCUACGCAAGAGCACUCUAGCAGGACUGCCGUUGACAAAACGGAGGAAGGUGGGGACGACGUCAAAUCAUCAUGCCCCUUAUGACCUGGGCUACACACGUACUACAAUGGCCGUUAACAGAGAGAAGCGAUACCGCGAGGUGGAGCGAACCUCAAAAAGCGGUCUCAGUUCGGAUUGCAGGCUGAAACCCGCCUGCAUGAAGUUGGAAUUGCUAGUAAUCGCGGAUCAUAAUGCCGCGGUGAAUACGUUCCCGGGCCUUGUACACACCGCCCGUCACACCAUGGGAGCCGGUAAUACCCGAAGUCAGUAGUCUAACCGCAAGGAGGACGCUGCCGAAGGUAGGAUUGGCGACUGGGGUGAAGUCGUAACAAGGUAACCGUA